This 1397-nucleotide unclassified non-coding RNA is filed under the name Polistes dominula (European paper wasp). RNAcentral's name for it is "pyridoxal kinase, transcript variant X2". Lineage: Eukaryota; Metazoa; Arthropoda; Insecta; Hymenoptera; Vespidae. The record is from RNAcentral.
GAUCAGUAAAGUAGGAAUCUUUAAUACCGUUAAAAAUACCUUAAUCGUUUCUUAUGGUAAUUUCAUUUUUUUCUUCCUAAUGCUACAUAUGUGCAAUUCUUCUAAUCAACGAAAAAUAAAAGCUCGUGAUUAUUUCUUAUCUUAUAUCAGUAGAUUUAGUAUAUCGACAAUAUUCGUUAAAAGAAUCUUGAGUAUAAAAGUAGAAAUAUGAAUUCGAAAAAAAGUCCUCGGAUUCUCUCGAUCCAAAGUCAUGUAGUUUCAGGAUAUGUUGGUAAUAAAAGUGCUACAUUUCCUCUGCAAUUAUUGGGCUUUGAAGUAGAUGCCAUCAACUCUGUUCAAUUAUCAAAUCAUACAGGAUAUAAAGUUAUUAAAGGCCAAGUACUUAAUGAUAAAGAUAUAGAUGAAUUGGUAGAUGGUUUGGCGGAAAAUAAUUUGAAUCAUUAUACUCAUCUACUAACAGGAUAUGUAGGAUCUGCAUCAUUUUUAAAAAGAAUAGCUGCACUGGUUCAAACUUUAAAACGCAAAAAUCCUAAUCUCAUAUAUGUAUGCGAUCCUGUUAUGGGUGAUAAUGGUCAUAUGUACGUUCCUAAAGAAUUAAAGGAUAUUUACAAAAAUGACAUAGUUCCACUGGCAGAUAUUGUAACUCCAAAUCAAUUUGAGACGGAAUUGUUAACAGGUAGAAGCGCUAAUAGUUUAAAUGAGUUGCAAACUAUUAUAAAAGAGUUACAUAAAAUGGGACCACAAACUGUAGCCGUAUCAUCUGUAGAAAUGAAUAAUAGAGUAAUAGCAGUAAUCAGUUCAUUGAAAGAUGAUAUAUUGCUUAAAAUUGAUAUUCCAAAGAUACCAUCAACCUUUACUGGUUCUGGUGAUUUAUUUGCUGCUUUAUUUCUCGCUCAUACAUAUCUACAAGAGGAUAUCAAAACUGCCACUGAAAAGACAAUAAAUUCUUUACAAGGUGUUCUUUGUGAAACUUUUAAAUCAUUCCAAGAAUAUAAAGACGAUGGGGCACAAUUUGCACAAAAAAUAGAAUUACGCUUGAUACAAAGUAAAAGGCACAUAGAAAAUCCAGAAAUUAAAUUACGUGCUGAAUUUCUAUGAUGACGAAUUUAUUACAAAGAAUAAUUGAUUCGUGAAAAAGUUGAGUUGCUGGACUGACUGGACAGGAACUCGAAACCAGGGAUCUUUUACUUUCAAGUGACUGCUCUUAUCCAUUGAGCUAUCCAGGGCCAACCGUCCAAUCCUUUCACAAAUGUCUAUUUAAUAGAUUUGGCAUGAAGGCACUCGUCCCAUGAUCUACUGUCUCUUUAAAAGGUAAAUAAGAAGGAAAAAGAAAUAAAGAAUGAGAUUGUACCCGUUACUCCUUUUUGUCCGUGACGACUACUAAAUUUAUCGCCUAC